GACGAACGCUGGCGGCGUGCCUAAUACAUGCAAGUAGAACGCUGAAGGAGGAGCUUGCUUCUCUGGAUGAGUUGCGAACGGGUGAGUAACGCGUAGGUAACCUGCCUGGUAGCGGGGGAUAACUAUUGGAAACGAUAGCUAAUACCGCAUAAUAUUGACUAUUGCAUGAUAGUCAGUUGAAAGGUGCAACUGCACCACUACCAGAUGGACCUGCGUUGUAUUAGCUAGUUGGUGGGGUAACGGCUCACCAAGGCGACGAUACAUAGCCGACCUGAGAGGGUGAUCGGCCACACUGGGACUGAGACACGGCCCAGACUCCUACGGGAGGCAGCAGUAGGGAAUCUUCGGCAAUGGACGGAAGUCUGACCGAGCAACGCCGCGCGAGUGAAGAAGGUUUUCGGAUCGUAAAGCUCUGUUGUAAGAGAAGAACGAGUGUGAGAGUGGAAAGCUCACACUGUGACGGUAUCUUACCAGAAAGGGACGGCUAACUACGUG
RNAcentral lists this ribosomal RNA (495 nucleotides) under uncultured bacterium. RNAcentral describes it as "partial 16S ribosomal RNA". It matches the Rfam family "Bacterial small subunit ribosomal RNA", at positions 28 to 507 of the family's 1533-position model. The record is from RNAcentral.